This 522-nucleotide long non-coding RNA is filed under the name Mytilus galloprovincialis (Mediterranean mussel). Lineage: Eukaryota; Metazoa; Mollusca; Bivalvia; Mytilida; Mytilidae. The record is from RNAcentral.
GGGGUCCUUCAUUUCUGUUUUCUUUAAUGUUUAAGGCCGUUUUUAUAGUCUUUCUAUUUUUUGUCUAUUAUUAUCAAUUCUUUAUAUUCAAGCACCUUAUUAUUCUCUAUUCUUUAUUUUUUUGUUCCAUUUUCUCUAUUAUUCAUAUUUAUAGCCGAUCAUUCUCUAUUCUGUAAAACCCCAUCGACAUCCUUCUCUUUCCGAUGGUAUGUUAUUUAUAGUUUUAACACUCUCACUUCACGGCCUAAGAGCAGUUUCAGAAGCUUAGUUCAAACGGAGACAUGGUUCCCUGAUGCGGCCUUAAGAGCCUGAGGAUAACGAAAUUAACGAUAUAAAUGAUCUGACAUAUAAAAUAUUUGUAUUUUGCGUUGAUCGUUCCUGAUGAAGUAAAAUCCAGAAACGUGAUUUGGACGUAUGAAAUUUAUAUAAGAUGUUGUUGUCACUCUUUUGUUAGUGUUACGUUUGAAAUUUGCAAUUACUUUUUUCAAAGAAUAAGUAGAUAAAUACAUAAAUUAACACCAG